This is an RNA transcript of Cephus cinctus (wheat stem sawfly), 3075 nucleotides long. It is a transcript of the gene named origin recognition complex subunit 3, with no coding region annotated. The record is from RefSeq and is a predicted model, not a curated record. Lineage: Eukaryota; Metazoa; Arthropoda; Insecta; Hymenoptera; Cephidae. The transcript has 15 exons.
CAGUCAUCAGCCGUCCAGUGCCGGUGAAUUGUUGUGUCGGAAUCGCUUAGAUCGGUCCAUGUUCAUUUUACGUUGCGAUAAAAGUUAGUCAAGUUAUUUCAGAGUUUGCACUUUUUGUGAUCCCGGCUGCUGCACAAAAUGGAUAACGUAUCUGUCUCGAAGGGUGUUUUCAGCUACAAGGGUAGUUAUAAGAUUGGUCAAAAAAGAAAAAAAGCUGUACAUGCGUUUCAAGAUGAACCGUGGUACAUUGCUUAUAAACAAACGUGGUCUACCAUACAGAAAGCUGCAGAGGCAAUUAAUUCCAAUAUGUUUAAACAAAUUCUCUUGGAUUUACACUCUUACGUUUCUAACAUGGACUAUGAUACGAUAGAUGGUGAAUCAUAUAAUAUUCCUACAGCCAUUUUAUUAACAGGCGUAAAUUUACCUGAUCACGAGAUAUUGUUUCAAAAGUUAACGGCUAGAUUUAAAACGAUAACGCCGCAUAUUGCGAUUAUACAAUCUAGGGACUCUAGUAACUUAAAGAACGUUAUGGAGGAGACGGUAUAUCAACUGAUUAACGGCGAUAAUAAGAAUAAGACACAGAAAGUUCGUAAGAAUCAAUGUACAUUCCGUGCCUUAAAAUUAUGGUAUAAAGAAUCAUGCGAUCCGGAUACACCACUAAUUAUCAUUUUUCCGGAUUUUGAGAGAAUUCCGGCUCGCGUAUUAAGAGAUUUUAUUUUAAUAUUGAGUGUAUAUAUAAAAGAAGUAAAGUUCGUAUUGAUAUUUGGCGUCGCGACAACUUUACACGCGGUGCACAGAGCACUCACGUAUGACGUUACUUCGAAAUUACAAGUAAAGGUUUUUCGUACACAAACUCAAAUGAAAAGUUUAUCAGAUAUACUGGAGGGUACAGCAUUAUCUGGGAACGUGCCGUUUAAAUUGACAGGAAGAGCAUUUCAAUUGCUAAUAGAUAUAUUUCUCUUUUAUGAUUUUUCCGUGGAUGGCUUUCUACAAGGUUAUAAGCUAUGCAUGAUGCAACACUUUUACGGGAACAACGUUAAUGCCCUUUGCUGCCAGCGGGAAAACGUCAAGAAGGUUUUAUCCGGUCUGAAUUUAGAGGAUCUAGAGAAGAUCAGAGAGAUCCCAAGCAUAGUAGAGUACAUAAAAAAUACACGUAAACACAAGGAAACGCGUAGACCAACUAAUCGGGAAUUAAUGGAUGUCACGGCAAAGCUGAUAAAAGAGUUUCACGAUAAAAUUGGGAUUUUUCUAACGCUACUCAAGUGUCUACAUGUGCUCGUUCGUGCGCUGCCGGGUGCGCCACUUGGCAAGCAGCUGCGUGAACUCUAUGGCACGGCGGUUACGACGACGUUGACGGAAACCACGGAGUACAAGGAGUGUCUACAACUUCUUGGGUUUCUCUCUAAGGGAGAUUUUCUCACGAUGCUGGAGACUAUAGAGGAAAUUAUCGAUGAGAACGUUGAUACAGUUCCAGAAGAUUUUCAAGAAAAAUUGAAAAAUCACAUAAAUACUAUUAGACACGCCAGUCUAGAGAUCGUGGAAGGACCUACAGAAAUCCUUUCCGCAGACCAAAAAUUAAAUAGAGCUCAAUUGCGCCAGAAACUUCUACUAAUGUCUCAGAAGCAUUCUCGUUCGCCCUUCAAGCAAGCGCAAUUGGAUCUAAUCGUUUAUCUAGAUCGUGAAGUAUUCUCAGUUUACUUAAAAAAUCCAUCUCAGCUACCAGCAAAUGAGAUAUUUUGUUAUAGCGAUGGUACUGUAGCAAAAUGUCAUAUACGUGGUUCCUUAAGAGCCUCCAUACAUACAGCUCUGAACAAUCCCCAGGUGUAUCUAGAGUGCACCUGCUGCAAUCUGGAAAACGACGAAGCGAUACUCCCGUGCUUACCGGAUCUUAGUAUCGUAUACAAGCUUCACUUGGAGAGUAGAAAGCUAAUCAACAUGUAUGACUGGCUUCAGGCGUUCCUGACCAUCGUAAACCCAAACGAGGAGGCUGAGGAGCAACAGGAAGUUGACGCCCAAGUGCAGGCUCGAUUUACUCGUGCGGUAGCCGAGCUGCAAUUUAUGGGCUUCAUUAAAUCAUCGAGAAGAAAAACGGAUCACGUUAAACGAUUAACCUGAUUGAAGCGAAGAAGCAUACUUUAUUUAUUUUUCAUCUUCAUGUUGAAUUUUGAAAAAUUCACGCACGUAUCAUGCUAUACUACUCUCUAAAUUUAUAAUCAGUUCUAUUUCGAACGCUAAUCUGUUUCACGAGGUAUAACGGCAAGAGCAAUAUGCCCAGAGUUGUAGUCACUCAUGGGAUUUCAAAAUUUUGGCAUUGUGACAAUGAGAUAUUCAGGGAUACGCGUUGACUGUCAUUGAAUUACCGCGAUAACACUAUUGUACCAGGCGGUCUCGUUUCGAAUGCUGUGCCACGGGAUUCACGAUGAAUAAACAGGAAGAACUGAUUAUUAAACAACGAUACUGGUUAGAUGAGCAUCACAGCGAUUAUACACAAUCUGCGCAUAUGAAGAUAUUUCGAAAAUGUGAAUCGUUUACCGAUUUUAUCCUGUAUGAGAAAAAUACGUAAAUACAACUGCAGUUGUUCUGAAGCAUUUAAUCAAGGAAGCAAUAUCGAUGAUCGAUUUUACGACCAACUACUAAGAUUGACCAUUAGGAUACGGAGAAAUCUAUAGGAGCAUCCCUGAAGGAACCAUACGUAUCGUUCCCAUUCCAUUCGGAUAGCAAACUAGAUUAAUAAUCAUUAAUCCAACGCAUCAAUUCCACGUCGUAGCCAGAUAAGAAUUCACGUGAGGUAUGUGACGCUAGGUCGGAUCACUCAUCAAUAUUCGAGCAGUUCGGUGGAAACGCCAUCAAGCCCAUCCAUCCAUUUUCAGAUCGGUUUUCUCUUUUUUUCCAGUUUCUUCUCCUUUUUCAUCUUCAUCCAACUUAAAGAACGUUCAGCAGUAUUAUGUAGAAUGAAUUUACGAAUUAUUUAACGCUUGAGAUACAUGUUAAUGAUGCGCCUCAUAUAUUUACAUUGGAUAUCGGUAACAGAAUAUUGGAUAUGAUCAUUUUGUAAUACUCAGUAGGAUCUUCGUU